UUCCUUCAUCAGACAGGUAAUGAGAGCGUCAGCAACUUGAAAAUAACAAGUUCUCCUGACACUUUGGUUGACUACAAUCAAAAUGUCAUAUUGAUGGAAAGAGGAACCGAAUCACUAUCCAGCACCGCACUUGCUUAUGAAUGGAAAUGUAAAGGAAAUUGUACGUGCAGAAAUGUAACAAAGGAAAAAACUCAUGCUGUUGAAAAGAAUUGCCUUCCAAAGCCUUUUGAAAUGAUUGAAUACAUCUUGACUGUGAGGAAAAGAACUUGGUUUAGGAAGUGGGUCAGCAUUGCUUCAGCAUCAAAGUGCAUCACUGUUACUCCUUCAAAUGUUUUAGCUGGUGUAACAAUCAGGUAAAAAUUUUAAAUGCCCAAUACCUUAAAAAAAUAUUCUAAACUAAAUGCAUUUUAAAACAAUAUUGACAAUUUAGAAAUUGCAUGUACAUGUUUUAAUUUAUAAUUAGUAAAUUGACUUAAAUGUUUACCUUUGUUCUUACAGUUGUGAUAAUUGUGCUUCAAUAAAUGCAAAGGACCAAGCAAAAUUAAGACUCAGGUGUAAAACAGUCUGUCCAGAUGUGGUUUGGUUUAUGGAAGAUCCUGAGCCUUUGAGCGUGAGUCCAAUGCAAUAUUUGACAUUUAAAAAUUAGGCCUUUUUGAGUCAAAGCAUUAAAUGAUCAUCUUUCCUCAGGGGGACCUCGCUGAAUGCUACUUUAAAGCAGGAAGAAGGCCACCUAUUGAGUUGCAGGAUGGUCUCAGUGAAUAUGUUGUUCCCAGUCGAUAUCUUGAAGCCUCAAGAAGGAUGCUGCACAACAUCAGUGUUAUUGUUUAUGGUUUGUCUUCACUGCAAUUUUUGCAUCUAACUCCCAAAUCUAAUGUUGAAUGUUUUGAAUUUUAACCCAGUUUCUUUCUAACUUUUUGUUUGUUUUGGAAUCAGGAAAGACAGUAUCAGGCUUUGUCAAAUACACUCUUCCAGUGCCAGGUUUUGACUCAAAAGUGACCCCUGAUCCCGACGCUGUCCCCUCGUGUAGCGUCUCUCCACCAUCAGGAACUGUGCUUCAAACGUUUGACAUAACCUGUGAGGCAAAAUCUUUCUGUGAAGUCGGUUGUCUUUACUGCUUCAAGACUAGCGCAGGUGAUGCUAUUUUUUUAAAGGUUAAAAAACAGCUCUCAUUCAAAAAUCAAAGACUUUGUAAGUGAAUAAUUUGUUUUGACAGCUCUGAAGUAACUUUCACUUUGGGUUUAAAGGGAAAGAUUUGUGGUGCACUAAUGCAAAUAAGGUGAAAUCCGUGUUCUUGCCUUCUGGAGACCAGACAAACAACGACACAUUGACUUUGAUGGUGACGGUGAAAAAUGAACACAUUACAGUUAAUACAAGUGUAACAGCUCAGGUUAGUGGCGAGGCACUUAUUUUCCCAAAUAAAGAUCAGUGGCUGGAAAGGCUAAAACUCUGAAUUUUUGUUCAGGUACGAAAAAGUAACACCAGCACCUCAGUAAGAGUUUUGGAGUCUGCAGUGGAGAAAACUGUGAGUCAGUUAGAAGAGCAAGGCUUGCUGUCCUCUGAAGCACUCGGACAAAUAUUCACCUCUGUCUCUGAUAUCCUGAACUCAGAAUGGGGCCAAGAUCAGAAAGACAACAGGUCUAAGGUGAGAAUACAGAGUCGUGACCAGGCUGGCUGGCACACCACAUGCCUUUUGGAUGUGUAGAGCUUCAUUAUUUUUCUUU
Oryzias javanicus (javanese ricefish) is the source of this 1721-nucleotide long non-coding RNA. The record is from Ensembl. Lineage: Eukaryota; Metazoa; Chordata; Actinopteri; Beloniformes; Adrianichthyidae.